This 525-nucleotide ribosomal RNA is filed under the name Triticum aestivum (bread wheat). RNAcentral's name for it is "partial small subunit ribosomal RNA". The record is from RNAcentral. Lineage: Eukaryota; Viridiplantae; Streptophyta; Magnoliopsida; Poales; Poaceae.
AUGCAUUUGUGGAAGAUCCAACUUGGCAACCUAUGCAUUCUGAAGAUUGCAGUGGAUGGACUGAUAAAUGAUGUUGAUAUUCUCAGAGGGUUGCCCGCCCUCACUGCUCUGUCGUUGUAUGUGGAGAAGUCACCUAAUAUGAAGAUAAUCUUUGGCACAGCUGCUGGAUUCACAGCUCUGAAGUACUUGAAGCUGAGGUUCAUGAGUGGAAUAGCUUGGCUAAAAUUUGAGGCGGAUGCAGUGCCUAAUCUCUGGAAGCUCAGGCUCGUUUUCAAUUCCAUCCCCCGAAUGGACCAACGACUUGAACUUUUUUCGGAGUCUGAGCAGUGCAAACAAUAUCGACAUGGUACUGCAUCAAUCAGCAUCGAGCAUAUGCCACGCCUUGGAGAGGUCUCCGCAAAAUUUGGGGGUGCAGCUGCUGAUCUGAAGUAUGUGUCGAGGAUAGGGAUAGUUAGCAAUCAUCCGAGCAAUGCUAUAAUCGACGUGCAACUAGUGGAUUCUGGUUCCCAUGGCGAUAAAAGGUAG